AACGAACGCUGGCGGCAUGCCUAACACAUGCAAGUCGAACGAGACCUUCGGGUCUAGUGGCGCACGGGUGCGUAACGCGUGGGAAUCUGCCCUUGGGUUCGGAAUAACAGUUGGAAACGACUGCUAAUACCGGAUGAUGACGUACGUCCAAAGAUUUAUCGCCCAAGGAUGAGCCCGCGUAGGAUUAGCUAGUUGGUGAGGUAAAGGCUCACCAAGGCGACGAUCCUUAGCUGGUCUGAGAGGAUGAUCAGCCACACUGGGACUGAGACACGGCCCAGACUCCUACGGGAGGCAGCAGUGGGGAAUAUUGGACAAUGGGCGAAAGCCUGAUCCAGCAAUGCCGCGUGAGUGAUGAAGGCCUUAGGGUUGUAAAGCUCUUUUACCCGGGAUGAUAAUGACAGUACCGGGAGAAUAAGCUCCGGCUAACUCCGUG
RNAcentral lists this ribosomal RNA (433 nucleotides) under uncultured bacterium. RNAcentral describes it as "partial 16S ribosomal RNA". It matches the Rfam family "Bacterial small subunit ribosomal RNA", at positions 29 to 507 of the family's 1533-position model. The record is from RNAcentral.